UAACACCAGAACACAGUGGAUAUUCUUGACUGGGGGCAAAGGGGGGCAAGAGUUUAUAAGUAUUUUAUAAUUAAAUACACUGAUAGAAAAUAAAUUAUUUUGUUUUCUCUCUAGUGCAACUGUUGUUCAAAAUCUAGAGAACUUUUGGGUUGGAAUUCAAAGCAAAACUCUCACACCUACACAUUCUGAGUCAGUUAACGUAACAGGAAAAAGUAAAAGGAAGCUUAUGAUAGAAUUAGAAUGUAACAAGCGUGGAGGGACUUAUUCAACAGGCCGGUGCAUCAUGGUAAAUAUUCCUUCUCCAAAGACAUUGACAUGCUGCUAACUGCCCAAGUUCUCAAGGCCUAGUCAAAAGCUCCUUCUAGACAUGUCUUUAUUCCCG
Molecule: long non-coding RNA, 382 nt
Filed under: Serinus canaria (Common canary)
Lineage: Eukaryota; Metazoa; Chordata; Aves; Passeriformes; Fringillidae
Description: lncRNA (ENSSCAG00000012407.1)
Source: RNAcentral